UAAGCGACUAAGCGUACACGGUGGAUGCCCUGGCAGUCAGAGGCGAUGAAGGACGUGCUAAUCUGCGAAAAGCGCCGGCGAGGUGAUAUGAACCCUUGACCCGGCGAUGUCCGAAUGGGGAAACCCAGUGUGUUCCGACACACUAUCGUUAACUGAAUACAUAGGUUAACGAGGCGAACCGGGGGAACUGAAACAUCUAAGUACCCCGAGGAAAAGAAAUCAACCGAGAUUCCCCCAGUAGCGGCGAGCGAACGGGGAGCAGCCCGGAGUCUGAAUCAGCUUGUGUGUUAGUGGAACGGUCUGGAAAGUCCGACGGUACAGGGUGAUAGUCCCGUACACGAAAAUGCACAGGUUGUGAACUCGAAGAGUAGGGCGGGACACGUGGUAUCCUGUCUGAAUAUGGGGGGACCAUCCUCCAAGGCUAAAUACUCCUGACUGACCGAUAGUGAACCAGUACCGUGAGGGAAAGGCGAAAAGAACCCCGGCGAGGGGAGUGAAAAAGAACCUGAAACCGUGUACGUACAAGCAGUGGGAGCCUCUUUAUGGGGUGACUGCGUACCUUUUGUAUAAUGGGUCAGCGACUUAUAUUCUGUAGCAAGGUUAACCGUAUAGGGGAGCCGAAGGGAAACCGAGUCUUAACUGGGCGUUAAGUUGCAGGGUAUAGACCCGAAACCCGGUGAUCUAGCCAUGGGCAGGUUGAAGGUUGGGUAACACUAACUGGAGGACCGAACCGACUAAUGUUGAAAAAUUAGCGGAUGACCUGUGGCUGGGGGUGAAAGGCCAAUCAAACCGGGAGAUAGCUGGUUCUCCCCGAAAGCUAUUUAGGUAGCGCCUCGUGAACUCAUCUUCGGGGGUAGAGCACUGUUUCGGCUAGGGGGCCAUCCCGGCUUACCAACCCGAUGCAAACUACGAAUACCGAAGAAUGUUAUCACGGGAGACACACGGCGGGUGCUAACGUCCGUCGUGAAGAGGGAAACAACCCAGACCGCCAGCUAAGGUCCCAAAGUCAUGGUUAAGUGGGAAACGAUGUGGGAAGGCACAGACAGCCAGGAUGUUGGCUUAGAAGCAGCCAUCAUUUAAAGAAAGCGUAAUAGCUCACUGGUCGAGUCGGCCUGCGCGGAAGAUGUAACGGGGCUAAACCAUGCACCGAAGCUGCGGCAGCGACACUAUGUGUUGUUGGGUAGGGGAGCGUUCUGUAAGCCGUUGAAGGUGUGCUGUGAGGCAUGCUGGAGGUAUCAGAAGUGCGAAUGCUGACAUAAGUAACGAUAAAGCGGGUGAAAAGCCCGCUCGCCGGAAGACCAAGGGUUCCUGUCCAACGUUAAUCGGGGCAGGGUGAGUCGACCCCUAAGGCGAGGCCGAAAGGCGUAGUCGAUGGGAAACAGGUUAAUAUUCCUGUACUUGGUGUUACUGCGAAGGGGGGACGGAGAAGGCUAUGUCAGCCGGGCGACGGUUGUCCCGGUUUAAGCAUGUAGGCGGAGGUUCCAGGUAAAUCCGGUACCUUAUUAACGCUGAGGUGUGAUGACGAGGCACUACGGUGCUGAAGUGAUAAAUGCCCUGCUUCCAGGAAAAGCCUCUAAGCAUCAGGUAACACGAAAUCGUACCCCAAACCGACACAGGUGGUCAGGUAGAGAAUACCAAGGCGCUUGAGAGAACUCGGGUGAAGGAACUAGGCAAAAUGGUGCCGUAACUUCGGGAGAAGGCACGCUGAUAUGUAGGUGAAGUCCCUGCGGACGGAGCUGAAAUCAGUCGAAGAUACCAGCUGGCUGCAACUGUUUAUUAAAAACACAGCACUGUGCAAACACGAAAGUGGACGUAUACGGUGUGACGCCUGCCCGGUGCCGGAAGGUUAAUUGAUGGGGUUAGCGGCAACGCGAAGCUCUUGAUCGAAGCCCCGGUAAACGGCGGCCGUAACUAUAACGGUCCUAAGGUAGCGAAAUUCCUUGUCGGGUAAGUUCCGACCUGCACGAAUGGCGUAAUGAUGGCCAGGCUGUCUCCACCCGAGACUCAGUGAAAUUGAACUCGCUGUGAAGAUGCAGUGUACCCGCGGCAAGACGGAAAGACCCCGUGAACCUUUACUAUAGCUUGACACUGAACACUGGUCCUUGAUGUGUAGGAUAGGUGGGAGGCUUUGAAGCGUGGACGCCAGUCUGCGUGGAGCCGCCCUUGAAAUACCACCCUUUAAUGGCUGGUGUUCUAACGUAGACCCGUAAUCCGGGUUGCGGACAGUGUCUGGUGGGUAGUUUGACUGGGGCGGUCUCCUCCCAAAGAGUAACGGAGGAGCACGAAGGUUGGCUAAUCCUGGUCGGACAUCAGGAGGUUAGUGCAAUGGCAUAAGCCAGCUUGACUGCGAGCGUGACGGCGCGAGCAGGUGCGAAAGCAGGUCAUAGUGAUCCGGUGGUUCUGAAUGGAAGGGCCAUCGCUCAACGGAUAAAAGGUACUCCGGGGAUAACAGGCUGAUACCGCCCAAGAGUUCAUAUCGACGGCGGUGUUUGGCACCUCGAUGUCGGCUCAUCACAUCCUGGGGCUGAAGUAGGUCCCAAGGGUAUGGCUGUUCGCCAUUUAAAGUGGUACGCGAGCUGGGUUUAGAACGUCGUGAGACAGUUCGGUCCCUAUCUGCCGUGGGCGCUGGAGAAUUGAGGGGGGCUGCUCCUAGUACGAGAGGACCGGAGUGGACGCAUCACUGGUGUUCGGGUUGUCAUGCCAAUGGCACUGCCCGGUAGCUAAAUGCGGAAGAGAUAAGUGCUGAAAGCAUCUAAGCACGAAACUUGCCCCGAGAUGAGUUCUCCCUGAGACUUUAAGUCUCCUGAAGGAACGUUGAAGACGACGACGUUGAUAGGUCGGGUGUGUAAGCGCAGCGAUGCGUUGAGCUAACCGAUACUAAUGAACCGUGAGGCUUAACCU
Molecule: ribosomal RNA, 2901 nt
Filed under: Enterobacter cloacae
Lineage: Bacteria; Pseudomonadati; Pseudomonadota; Gammaproteobacteria; Enterobacterales; Enterobacteriaceae
Description: bacterial LSU rRNA
Rfam family: Bacterial large subunit ribosomal RNA
Source: RNAcentral